Molecule: ribosomal RNA, 253 nt
Filed under: uncultured bacterium
Lineage: Bacteria
Description: partial 16S ribosomal RNA
Rfam family: Bacterial small subunit ribosomal RNA
Source: RNAcentral
UACGAAGGAUGCAAGCGUUAUCCGGAUUUAUUGGGUUUAAAGGGUGCGUAGGCGGACUUAUAAGUCAGUGGUGAAAUCUCGUUGCUUAACAACGAACGUGCCAUUGAUACUGUAGGUCUUGAGUACAGAUGCCGUUGGCGGAAUGUGUCAUGUAGCGGUGAAAUGCAUAGAUAUGACACAGAGCACCGAUUGCGAAGGCAGCUGACGAAACUGUAACUGACGCUGAGGCACGAAAGCGUGGGGAUCAAACAGG